AUGCUGCUGGCCAUGGUUUGCCCAGCAGGUCUCCGGUGCCCAGAAGGACAGGCUGUCGCUCCAGAGGCCAAUGCAAACUCCUGCCCGAGGGGCUUCUACUGUCCCCAAGGAGAUGCUGGCUCAGAUGCGAAGCCUUGCCCCAAUGGGACCUAUGGCAGACAGAAGGGACUCAGCAGUGCUGAAGAAUGCUCACUGUGCCCUGCAGGGAAGUACUGCUACAGAGCUGGGACUGAGCCUUCAGGAAUUCCCUACCCUACUGGAGAUUGUCCACUUGGCUACAACUGCCCUCCUGGAACUGGAUUCCCUUUCUCCUUCCCCUGCACCCCUGGAUUCUUCUGGGAUAAUUCCAGUGCAGAGGAUGAAGACAGGUGCAAACCGUGUCCAGCUGGGAGCUACUGUGACUCUGUUGCCUUGACAGAGCCCAAAGCUUGCCCCAUAGGCUUUUACUGUGGUGAAGGCAGCUCUAAACCUGAGCCCUGCCCAGAGGGAACCUACAGUAACAAAAAGGGACUGUCUGGACCAUCAGAGUGCAGCCCAUGUGGCCGUGGUUUCUACUGUGCUACUCCAGGGCAGAGUGGGCCAAGUGGUCCCUGCAAGGCUGGGUUCUACUGCCAGGGCAGGGCUUUUACUGCAUUGCCUACAGAUGGUGUGACAGGAGAUGUGUGUCCUGCAGGGGCAUAUUGCCCACCUGGCUCCCCUUUACCCAUCCCCUGUCCUCCAGGAACCUACAGCAAUGUGAGUGGGCUCAGAAGCCUUGGUCAGUGCUUGGACUGCCCGCCUGGCCUUUAUUGUGAUGGGACAAAUACCCAAGCUCCCUCGGGACCUUGUGAGCCUGGAUACUACUGUACAGGUGGUGCCAAAAGUGCUCUUCAGCAUGUGGUCAUGGAAGGGCGUUAUUCCUCAGCAGGAGCUUUCAAGCCAGAGCUGUGUCCUCUUGGCAGCUUCCAGCCUGACCGUGGUCAGUCUCAUUGCAGGGACUGUCCAGAGGGAACGUUCUGCAAUGAGAUGGGCUUGGCUGAAGCCCAGCCUUGUCCAAAAGGGCAUUUUUGCUUGGGUGGAAGUUCUCUGCCUCUCCCUUGUCCAGUGGGAAUGUAUACGGAUGUGCUUGGGGCAGGUACUUGCAAGCCCUGCCCAGCAGGCAUGUACUGCAGCAUGGCAGGUCUGACUGAGCCAGAAGGACCUUGCCAGCCUGGCUAUUACUGCAGCCAAGGGUCCAGCAGCUCCUCACCUGUGGGUCUUUCAUUUGGAGAUCUUUGUCCACCGGGAUAUUAUUGCCCUGCUGGCACAGCACACCCAAAAAUGAUGGCCUGCCCUGCUGGCACCUGGAAUGACCAGAGGGGAGCCCAGGAUGUCACUUGGUGUCUUCCUUGUGCCCCUGGCUUCUUCUGCAGUAUGUCUGGCCAAGAUGCUCCCGUAGGACUUUGUGCACAAGGCUACUACUGCACAGGAGGGGCAAAGACUGCAAAGCCGGAGGAUGGUGUCACUGGGGAUAUCUGUCCUCGAGGACAUUUCUGCCCUGCAGGCUCAGCAGCACCUUCUCCCUGCCCCAGUGGCGAAUACAGCAAUGUAACAGGUCAAGACAAAUGUUUUCCAUGUCCUGCUGGGUUCCACUGUCCUAAAGGACUGCGACGCCGUUGCCCUCCUGGCUUCUAUUGCCCUCAGAGAACAGGAAUCAGUUUUUAUCCUUGUCCCCCUGGGACUUUCAACCCUUCUUAUGGACUCAGCCAGGUUGAGAGGUGCCAGAAGUGCCCUGCAGGAAUGUUCUGUGGAGACUGGGGUCUCUCCUCUCCAAGUGGUCCCUGUUGGCCAGGGUUCUUCUGCACAGCAGGUAUGAAAUGUAACGCUCACAAGGGCAAUGGAGAAGUGUAAAAGUAGAAAGCUGUAGUCUUUAGGAACAGUU
Molecule: long non-coding RNA, 1900 nt
Filed under: Coturnix japonica (Japanese quail)
Lineage: Eukaryota; Metazoa; Chordata; Aves; Galliformes; Phasianidae
Description: lncRNA (ENSCJPG00005006634.1)
Source: RNAcentral